RNAcentral lists this transfer RNA (66 nucleotides) under bovine gut metagenome. It matches the Rfam family "tRNA", at positions 5 to 66 of the family's 71-position model. From Rfam's summary of the family: Transfer RNA (tRNA) molecules are approximately 80 nucleotides in length. Their secondary structure includes four short double-helical elements and three loops (D, anti-codon, and T loops). Further hydrogen bonds mediate the characteristic L-shaped molecular structure. tRNAs have two regions of fundamental functional importance: the anti-codon, which is responsible for specific mRNA codon recognition, and the 3' end, to which the tRNAs corresponding amino acid is attached (by aminoacyl-tRNA synthetases). tRNAs cope with the degeneracy of the genetic code in two manners: having more than one tRNA (with a specific anti-codon) for a particular amino acid; and 'wobble' base-pairing, i.e. permitting non-standard base-pairing at the 3rd anti-codon position. The record is from RNAcentral.
GGUGUAGCGCAGUUGGUAGCGCGCCUGCUUUGGGAGCAGGAUGUCGGGGGUUCAAAUCCCUCCACU